This is a non-coding RNA of Caenorhabditis elegans, 123 nucleotides long. NCBI's taxonomy places the organism in Eukaryota, Metazoa, Nematoda, Chromadorea, Rhabditida, Rhabditidae. The record is from Ensembl.
GAAGGAUUAGGCUCGCGGAAAGAGCAAGACGCUUUGUGUUGAAGGCGCGCCGCGCCCUUGCGCACCGGGUCGAAUACACGCUUUUUCUUUCCGGAAACUUCCAGAUCAUCGUGUCAUGUGCAU